RNAcentral lists this ribosomal RNA (1234 nucleotides) under metagenome. RNAcentral's name for it is "bacterial LSU rRNA". It matches the Rfam family "Bacterial large subunit ribosomal RNA", at positions 1564 to 2808 of the family's 2925-position model. The record is from RNAcentral.
UGAAUACGAGACGCUAAGGCGUCGAAGUAGUGUAUGUCAUACUUCCAAGAAAAGCUUGCACUGUCAUAGAUAAAAAACGCCUGUACCAUAACCGACACAGGUGGGUAGGUAGAGUAUACUAAGGGGCGCGAGAUAACUCUCUCUAAGGAACUCGGCAAAAUAACUCCGUAACUUCGGGAGAAGGAGUGCCUUAUUCGUAAGGUUGCAAUAACAAGAUCCAAGCAACUGUUUAUCAAAAACACAGGUCUCCGCUAAGUCGUAAGACGAUGUAUGGGGGCUGACGCCUGCCCAGUGCCAGAAGGUUAAAGAAGUUGGUUAGCAAUUGCGAAGCUGAUAACUGAAGCCCUGGUGAACGGCGGCCGUAACAAUAACGGUCCUAAGGUAGCGAAAUUCCUUGUCGGGUAAGUUCCGACCCGCACGAAAGGCGUAAUGAUUUGGAUACUGUCUCGGAGAGGGGCUCGGUGAAAUAGACUUGCCUGUGAAGAUGCGGACUACCUGCACCAGGACAGAAAGACCCUAUGAAGCUUUACUGUAACUUGAAAUUGAAAUUGGACUUUAUUCGCGCAGUAUAGGUGGGAGGCGUUGAUUAUAAUCUUGUGGGAUUAUUGGAGCCAUCAGUGAGAUACCACUCUUGUAAUGUUAGAUUUCUAACUUUGAAUCAUUAUCUGGUCAAAGAACAGUUUCAGGCGGGCAGUUUGACUGGGGCGGUCGCCUCCUAAACGGUAACGGAGGCGUACAAAGGUUUCCUCUGAACGGUUAGAAAUCGUAUCUAGAGUGUAAAGGCAUAAGGAAGCUUGACUGUGAGACCUACAAGUCGAGCAGGGACGAAAGUCGGUCUUAGUGAUCUGACGGUACUGAGUGGAAAGGCCGUCACUCAACGGAUAAAAGUUACUCUAGGAUAGCAGGCUGAUCUCCCCCAAGAGUUCACAUCGACGGGGAGGUUUGGCACCUCGAUGUCGGCUCAUCGCAUCCUGGGGCGGUAGUACGUCCCAAGGGUUGGGCUGUUCGCCCAUGAAAGCGGUACGCGAGCUGGGUUCAGAACGUCGUGAGACAGUUCGGUCCAUAUCCGGUGUAGGCGUUAGAAUAUUGAGAGGAGCCUUCUUUAGUACGAGAGGACCGAGAAGGACAUACCUCUGGUGUACCAGUUAUCGUGCCAACGGUAAACGCUGGGUAGCCAUGUAUGGAGUGGAUAACCGCUGAAAGCAUCUAAGUGGGAAGCCCACCUCAAGAUAAG